AGAGUUUGAUCCUGGCUCAGAACGAACGCUGGCGGCGUGCUUAAGACAUGCAAGUCGAACGGUAAGGCUUGUCACUCUUCGGAGUGACUCGCACACGAGUGGCGCACGGGUGAGUAACGCGUGGGUAAUCUGCCUUCGGGUUUGGGACAACUCCGGGAAACUGGAGCUAAUACCGAAUAAGACCACGAGGUCUCCGGACCUUGCGGAAAAAGGUGGCCUCUCCUUGGAAGCUAUCGCCUGUUGAUGAGCCCGCGUCCCAUUAGCUUGUUGGUGAGGUAAAAGCUCACCAAGGCAUCGAUGGGUAGCUGGUCUGAGAGGAUGAUCAGCCACACUGGAACUGAGACACGGUCCAGACUCCUACGGGAGGCAGCAGUCGGGAAUCUUGCACAAUGGGCGAAAGCCUGAUGCAGCAACGCCGCGUGAGGGAUGAAGGCCCUCGGGUCGUAAACCUCUGUCGGAAGGGAAGAAAGUAUUCCGGGCCAAUACCCCGGAGUAUCGACGGUACCUUCAAAGGAAGCGCCGGCUAACUCCGUGCCAGCAGCCGCGGUAAUACGGAGGGCGCGAGCGUUAUUCGGAAUCAUUGGGCGUAAAGCGCGUGUAGGCGGCUGGGCAAGUCGGAUGUGAAAGCCCGGGGCUCAACCCCGGAAUUGCAUACGAAACUGCCCAGCUAGAGUCUCGGAGAGGAGGGCGGAAUUCCCG
RNAcentral lists this ribosomal RNA (699 nucleotides) under uncultured bacterium. Its description in RNAcentral is "bacterial SSU rRNA". It matches the Rfam family "Bacterial small subunit ribosomal RNA", at positions 8 to 672 of the family's 1533-position model. The record is from RNAcentral.